GCUUAUAGGUUGGAGUAAUGAGACAAUAUUACAUACGUCUUAUUUCAUUUAGCUAAGUUAGGCCUCUGUUAUUAGUUUAUUGCAGUCGAAACUCUGUCUCGUGACUGCCAGACUGCCAUAGUGUCGUUAGAAAUAAAGCUUUGCCUCUCCUUGUAAUGCUUCCAGGAUACAUAUGUCUACUGUUCAGACAUCAUGACGAUAGAAAACAUUAGUAUCACUGGACGUAAGAUGAACUCAAAUCCAUAAUACCCCACCUCCAGAAAAAUCUACAACUCACGAUACAUAGUUUUGCCUAUCUCCAAGCCACAAACAGAAAAACAGUAUGAAGAGUAUACAUAAACAUCAGAGAAACAUUGUCGAAUUAGGACUUACCUUUAGUCUGUACUCUGUAACAACUGUCGAAUUUUGAUAAAGGUUUUUACACCUUCUGUAGGUAACAAAGCCUCUUUCAAAUGUGUGAUGCUAUCUUUGACAGAAAAUGCAUAAGAUUUUCUCCGUUAACAAUGGUAUUAGAAAUCUAGAAAGAUAAGAUUGACAUCUUAUUCCCCCUUUUAUCAUCGUUGCAGAAGGAAAUCUCCCAUAUAAAACCCUCGAUAAC
Molecule: long non-coding RNA, 598 nt
Filed under: Brassica napus (rape)
Lineage: Eukaryota; Viridiplantae; Streptophyta; Magnoliopsida; Brassicales; Brassicaceae
Description: long non-coding RNA (BNAP_LNC016588)
Source: RNAcentral